GGCUCUGUGGUGCAAUGGAAAGCAUGUUGGACUUCUAAGCUGUAGUGGUUAACAUGAGCCCAGCAAAACAUUCAAAGGCUGUGGGUUCAAGUCCCAGCAGAGUCA
Molecule: transfer RNA, 105 nt
Organism: Pelodiscus sinensis (Chinese soft-shelled turtle)
Lineage: Eukaryota; Metazoa; Chordata; Testudines; Trionychidae
Rfam family: tRNA
About the family: Transfer RNA (tRNA) molecules are approximately 80 nucleotides in length. Their secondary structure includes four short double-helical elements and three loops (D, anti-codon, and T loops).
Source: Rfam